Molecule: long non-coding RNA, 520 nt
Filed under: Chinchilla lanigera (long-tailed chinchilla)
Lineage: Eukaryota; Metazoa; Chordata; Mammalia; Rodentia; Chinchillidae
Description: lncRNA (ENSCLAG00000024324.1)
Source: RNAcentral
AGUCCGCCCAAAUCUGUCGUUAUGGUUAGCGGCUGCGGGAGCCGCCACAGCACAGACCCAGCACGGAGGAAGCCCGUCCCUAACUUUCAGACUUGUUGAGCUCUCAGUCAGCCAGAGCUAAGAAGAAAGCAGAUUCUUGGCAGAGACAAAAAUGACUUCGUAUUCGCUACUAAGAGGUUGUGCCUAUUAUUUAUGUCCCAUACCACAGAGAUCUCAAAGUAUGGCAAGUCAAGAUUCAUGGAAAGAGCAAAGAGGUAAAUGUAGCAAACUGGAAGAGUUUCAUUAAAGAUAUGCACUGCAUGCAGAAUAUUGAACCAUUAUUGAAAAUAAAAUUGGACACGAGAUGCUUUGGACACAAUGAACUAGGGCAGACCCAGGCCUGGUGUGGGAUGAGUCCUGAGUUCCGAUCUCACUGGUGCUACUCCUAAGGGUUCUGAGUAUGUGGAUCAAAACCUUUCACUUCUUUGGGCUCCAAGGUUCCUUUGUUUUGGAGGGUUCUGUUUGUUUGUUUUGACCAGAA